Pelobates cultripes (western spadefoot toad) is the source of this 335-nucleotide non-coding RNA. The record is from the annotation of a GenBank genome assembly. Lineage: Eukaryota; Metazoa; Chordata; Amphibia; Anura; Pelobatidae.
GCCCAAUACACCACAGUCAAAGAGACGCUGCUGAAACGGUACGCUGUGACCCCAGACACCUACCGAAGGCAGUUCCGCAGCACGAAGAAAAAAGCGAAUGAUACCCAUGCCGAAUGGGCACAUCGUAUGCGGAGAGCUGCAACCCAUUGGAUUACCGGGUGUCGGGCCGUCACGGCCACGGAAAUAUUGGAACUUUUCUUAUUAGAGCAUUUUUAUGAGGGUCUGGAACAAAAAGACCGGGAGUGGUUGAAAGACCGGCGUCCCGCUAACCUACACGAAGCAGCCCGGUUGGCAGACGAGCACCGGGAUGCGCAAGUACAGGAGUUCAACAAUGC